RNAcentral lists this ribosomal RNA (764 nucleotides) under Vibrio sp. NBF10. RNAcentral describes it as "bacterial SSU rRNA". It matches the Rfam family "Bacterial small subunit ribosomal RNA", at positions 30 to 770 of the family's 1533-position model. Lineage: Bacteria; Pseudomonadati; Pseudomonadota; Gammaproteobacteria; Vibrionales; Vibrionaceae. The record is from RNAcentral.
UUGACGCUGGCGGCAGGCCUACACAUGCAAGUCGAGCGGAAACGAGUUUCUGAACCUUCGGGGAACGAUAACGGCGUCGAGCGGCGGACGGGUGAGUAAUGCCUAGGAAAUUGCCCUGAUGUGGGGGAUAACCAUUGGAAACGAUGGCUAAUACCGCAUGAUGCCUACGGGCCAAAGAGGGGGACCUUCGGGCCUCUCGCGUCAGGAUAUGCCUAGGUGGGAUUAGCUAGUUGGUGAGGUAAGGGCUCACCAAGGCGACGAUCCCUAGCUGGUCUGAGAGGAUGAUCAGCCACACUGGAACUGAGACACGGUCCAGACUCCUACGGGAGGCAGCAAGUGGGGAAUUUUGCACAAUGGGCGCAAGCCUGAUGCACCCAUGCCGCGUGUUGUGAAGAAGGCCUUUCGGGUUGUAAAGCACUUUCAGUCGUGAGGAAGAUUGGUAGUGUUAAUAGCACNAAUCAUUUAACGUUAGCGACAGAAGAAGCACCGGCUAACUCCGUGCCAGCAGCCGCGGUAAUACGGAGGGUGCGAGCGUUAAUCGGAAUUACUGGGCGUAAAGCAGCAUGCAGGUGGUUUGUUAAGUCAGAUGUGAAAGCCCGGGGCUCAACCUCGGAAUAGCAUUUGAAACUGGCAGACAUAGAGUACUGUAGAGGGGGGUAGAAUUUCAGGUGUAGCGGUGAAAUGCGUAGAGAUCUGAAGGAAUACCGGGGCGAAGGCGGCCCCCUGGACAGAUACUACACUCAGAUGCGAAAGCGUGGACAACA